AAGGGCCUUAAGAUUGUUUAAUUCAAACAAGGGAAGGAAAGGUAGAAAAAAGGCUAUGUGGGUAAUAGUAAAGGCUCCUCGACAACAAGAUGCCAAACAAUGUGGUUACUAUGUGAUGCGAUUUAUGAGACAAAUUGUUGAAGAAGUUGAAAUUAUCGAAAGAGAUUCACUACGAUCUAUAUUCACACAAGCAGAGUAUUCUCGAGAAGAAAUUGAUGAGGUGCGAUCGGAGUUGGCAGAAUGUAUACAAGAUCAUAUUUAUGAGUAGGUGCGUUCAAGUUUAUGUAAGUUCAUUACCUUGUUUUAGCUAAGGUUUAUGUAAUUAAGUUCAUUAUCUUUAGCAAGAAGCAACUUUUUGCUUCUUUAGAAUCCAUUUUCAGCUAUGAGAUGCAAUCUACCCUUGUUUGUUAUUCUCAGUUUAAUCUGUGAUAAAGAGUCUUCUUGGUCAUUAACUGAAUUAUAUAAACUGAAUGCAUUUUAGAAUGGAGAAAUACUGAGAUGUGCUCCCUGAGCUUCUAAUUUUGACAAUUGUUUGCUAAAUUUUUUAUAUCAGUUGUAGCCAUAUGAUAGUCCACUUGCUCAAUUCUUCUGUUAUUUCAAUAAC
This is a long non-coding RNA of Zingiber officinale, 604 nucleotides long. RefSeq lists it as uncharacterized. The transcript has 3 exons. The record is from RefSeq and is a predicted model, not a curated record. NCBI's taxonomy places the organism in Eukaryota, Viridiplantae, Streptophyta, Magnoliopsida, Zingiberales, Zingiberaceae.